UACGAAGGGGGCUAGCGUUGUUCGGAAUCACUGGGCGUAAAGGGUGCGUAGGCGGGUCCUUAAGUCAGGGGGGAAAUCCUGGAGCUCAACUCCAGAACUGCCUUUGAUACUGAAGAUCUUGAGUUCGGGAGAGGUGAGUGGAACUGCGAGUGUAGAGGUGAAAUUCGUAGAUAUUCGCAAGAACACCAGUGGCGAAGGCGGCUCACUGGCCCGAUACUGACGCUGAGGCACGAAAGCGUGGGGAGCAAACAGG
RNAcentral lists this ribosomal RNA (253 nucleotides) under uncultured bacterium. Its description in RNAcentral is "partial 16S ribosomal RNA". It matches the Rfam family "Bacterial small subunit ribosomal RNA", at positions 524 to 776 of the family's 1533-position model. The record is from RNAcentral.